This is a long non-coding RNA of Caenorhabditis elegans, 424 nucleotides long. Ensembl annotates it as ncRNA. Its record names the gene linc-83. Lineage: Eukaryota; Metazoa; Nematoda; Chromadorea; Rhabditida; Rhabditidae. The record is from Ensembl.
UUAUUUCGUGGGCUUUUGAUGAUUUAGUCAGAUGUUGGUUACUAUUCAACUAAAUUGAAACUGAAAGAGUUUGGACAUUAUUUCCAAGGCUUCGAACCGAGAUGUACCACAUGUGCACUCUUCGAAUAAUGCAUUUUUCAACGCUUAAAAUACAUUUGACUCCAAGAAAAUACUCCCAAUUAUAAAGUGUAAAUGACUUCGCACAAGGAACUUGUAAGGAUCAUGCUUUACAAAUGUUUUUAUUUGCUCAAAGAUUUAGAUGUGUUGUAUUAUAAUAUUCGGUCUUUAUCAACAUUAUAUACUUUCAAAUAAAAUUCACAAUAAAUUGCCCUCCGUCUGUUUUUUAAGGGACUUCAUACAACUUCCUCACUUUUCAUAUUUUUGUUUUUUUCCGCUUUCUAAUUCAUUAAAGUUUUCCAAGUUU